UGGGGAAUUUUGGACAAUGGGCGCAAGUCUGAUCCAGCCUUGCCGCGUGCGGGAAGAAGGCCUUCGGGUUGUAAACCGCUUUUGUCCGGGAAGAAACGAGUUUCUCUAAUACAGAGACUUAAUGACGGUACCUGAAGAAUAAGCACCUGCUAACUCCGUGCCAGCAGCCGCGGUCAUACGUAGGGUGCAAGCGUUAAUCGGAAUUCCUGGGCGUAAAGCGUGCGCAGGCGGUUAUGCAAGACAGAUGUGCAAUCCCCGGGCUCAACCUGGGAACUGCAUUUGUGACUGCAUAGCUGGAGUGCGGCGGAGGGGGAUGGAAUUCCGCGUGUAGCAGUGAAAUGCGUAGAUAUGCGGAGGAACACCGAUGGCGAAGGCGAUCCCCUGGGCCUGCACUGACGCUCAUGCACGAAAGCAUGGGGAGCAAACA
RNAcentral lists this ribosomal RNA (427 nucleotides) under uncultured bacterium. RNAcentral describes it as "bacterial SSU rRNA". It matches the Rfam family "Bacterial small subunit ribosomal RNA", at positions 355 to 774 of the family's 1533-position model. The record is from RNAcentral.